RNAcentral lists this unclassified non-coding RNA (336 nucleotides) under Hevea brasiliensis (rubber tree). Lineage: Eukaryota; Viridiplantae; Streptophyta; Magnoliopsida; Malpighiales; Euphorbiaceae. The record is from RNAcentral.
GAGUUGGUACAUAUGACACUCAGGUGUUUCUCUAACUUCACUUCCCUAACAAUAAUUUGAAUUUCUCAAUUUGUUACCCAACUCUUGAAUGUUGGUUGAACUUAUCUCUGGAUUUGAUGACUAGAUGUAAUAUAGUGCACACCUUUAGAAAUUCUAAAAUAAUGCAAUGAAUUUAGCUAUUGGGUUCCUUUUCUCAAGUUUUCAAAUUUUACUAUUUGUUGAAAAUACUGUUUGCCAAAAUUUAGUAAUUCAUUGUUGUAUCCAUUCAUUUGUAGUUGGUGGAGCACUUUUUCCAGUCUUUAGUGAAUACUUCCGGUAUGACACUUCACAUUCGGC